Molecule: long non-coding RNA, 1530 nt
Filed under: Ananas comosus (pineapple)
Lineage: Eukaryota; Viridiplantae; Streptophyta; Magnoliopsida; Poales; Bromeliaceae
Description: long non-coding RNA (ACOM_LNC003005)
Source: RNAcentral
GAGGAAAGAGAUAUUAGAGAGAAAUUCAAGAAUAAGAGAAUUAAGACAUCCAAUUUCUCCCCAAUAUCUCUUCUCUUUCUCAUUCUAAACACCCAUCAAAUUUGAUGGGUGGUGCGAAAGUUAGGAGCACAAGGGUUGCUGUACUCCUAAUGGUACAGUACCGUUGCUUUCUCUCUCUCUCUCUCUAUAUAUAUAUAGAGUCCGGUUGGGAUACUGUCGAUAGCACGAAACAUUUUGUACUAUCAAGUUUUCUGCCAUUAAAUUUUCCUCUUUAUCAUUUUCAUCCGUUUGAUUAUACUAUUCGACUAACCACCCACUCAACUCUAUGGGACCCACAUCAUUUUAACCACACAUCUUUUAAUCUAAGGGCAAAAAACUCAAUAGCAUCAAGUCAUUGGUGGUAUUAAUAGUAUUCCAGCCUAGUUUUAUAUAUAUAUAGAGAGAGAGAGAGAAAGAGAGAAAGAGAGAGAGUAGGUCUUGUGUGCUAUUAGGAGCACGGAGGCCCACGGAGGCCUUCGUGCUCCUAAGCCGUUUUCGAUUAUGGAGCUUGUGAAUCAACGAUCGACUCUGUUAGACUUGAUCUAGCGUAUUUGAAGUAUUUAGAAAAUAAAUUUUGCGAUUUUUCGAUAUUAUUUACCUAGCGAUCAGGAGGGCUCAAAAUUAACAAUUUUUAAUGGUUGAUAUAUAUCGUUUGCAAGUUUAACGGUAUAGAAGUAUUCAAAUGAGAUGAAAUUUUGAUAGAAAAUUCUUUGUACUAUUUACUGUAAGAUCAAUAUCUCUGAUUGAAAAUUUUAGUGCUAUAUCACCACUUUUUGUGAGAUAUUUAUUUUCAGCCGUUGAUUUUGAACACUUUCGAUUGUUAGAUAAAUGAUAUCGAAAAAUCGCAAAAUUUAUUUUCUAAAUACUUCAAAUACACUAGAUCAAGUCUAACGGAGCCGAUCGUCGAUUCGCAAGCUCCAUCGUCGAAAAUGGCUUAGGAGCAUGGAGGCCUCCAUGCUCCUAAUAGCACACAAGACCUACUAUAUAUAUAUAUUAGUUAAAAAAUAUAUUUUUUAUGAUAUUAAUUUUAUAGUUAUAAAAAUUUUAUUAAUUUUGUAUCACAAAAAUUUGAAAUGACAAAAUACUUUUAUAUAAUAUAAAAUUUUAUAUUAUUUAUUAUAAUAUUGUAAUAUUUUAAACAAUAAUUUAUCUUAUAUUUCUGUAAAUUAUAUAGGCUUUUUAUAUUUAGAAAGUAUAGGAAUAAAAAUAUAUAUCUUGCGGGUAACCUGCAUACCUGCAUGCCCAUCUACGGAAUGGUAUGGAUAAAAGUGUUGAUUAGCCAAAAUUUAUAUGAUCCACUCGUGGGUUACCGAACUUGUCUGUUUGUCAGGUCUAAUCACAAGGCUUCUACACUCUACACUCUAACCGCUAUAUUCUAUCAUUUAUAUCCAAUUAAUUAUAUUUAAAAAAUAGUACAAUCAAAAUAUUUUUUUAAAAAUUAAAAUAGAACAAGUGAAUUCUAAAAAAAUAAUUUGAUAGGUUGAAGAUACC